UAGAGUUUGAUCAUGGCUCAGGAUGAACGCUGGCGAGAUGCCUUAUACAUGCAAGUCGUACGAGAUUAAACUCAAGUGGCGGACGGGUGAGUAACACGUAAGAAUUUGCCUUUAGGAGGGGGACAACAACUGGAAACGGUUGCUAAUACCCCAUAUGCUUUAGAGUGAAAUGGAUUUUUCCGCCUAAAGAGAAGCUUGCGGCUGAUUAGCUUGUUGGUGUGGUAAUGGCUCACCAAGGCGACGAUCAGUAUCUGGUUUGAGAGGACGAUCAGACACACUGGAACUGAGACACGGUCCAGACUCCUACGGGAGGCAGCAGUAGGGAAUUUUCCGCAAUGGGCGAAAGCCUGACGGAGCAAUCUCGCGUGAGGGAUGACGGCCUAUGGGUUGUAAACCUCUUUUUUCAGGGAGGAAUAAAUGACGUGUACCUGAAGAAUAAGCAUCGGCUAACUCCGUGCCAGCAGCCGCGGUAAGACGGAGGAUGCAAGUGUUAUCCGGAAUCACUGGGCGUAAAGCGUCUGUAGGUGGUUUAAUAAGUCAACUGUUAAAUCUUAAAGCUUAACUUUGAAAUCGCAGUCGAAACUAUUAGACUAGAGUAUAGUAGGGGUAAAGGGAAUUUCCAGUGGAGCGGUGAAAUGCGUAGAGA
This 646-nucleotide ribosomal RNA is filed under the name uncultured bacterium. Its description in RNAcentral is "bacterial SSU rRNA". It matches the Rfam family "Bacterial small subunit ribosomal RNA", at positions 1 to 696 of the family's 1533-position model. The record is from RNAcentral.